GGCUGAAUUAUACCACCAUUCUUGCUAACCCCAAGCCGACAUUUUUGGUGUGGAAGCACCUGCACCGUAAAUAAGAUUCCAAACAUAUGUUUAACCUUUCGCUUUACCCAUCUGUCUAAGGAUGGUAAGCAGUGCUGCUGUGUAGUUUAAUCCCUAGCAUUCUGAAUAAUUCCUGCCAAAAUUGACCUAUAAAUAUCUUAUCACGGUCAGAGAUAAU
This 217-nucleotide unclassified non-coding RNA is filed under the name Hevea brasiliensis (rubber tree). The record is from RNAcentral. Lineage: Eukaryota; Viridiplantae; Streptophyta; Magnoliopsida; Malpighiales; Euphorbiaceae.